This 257-nucleotide ribosomal RNA is filed under the name uncultured prokaryote. Its description in RNAcentral is "partial 16S ribosomal RNA". It matches the Rfam family "Bacterial small subunit ribosomal RNA", at positions 521 to 777 of the family's 1533-position model. The record is from RNAcentral.
UAAGACGGAGGGUGCAAGCGUUGCUCGGAAUCACUGGGCGUAAAGGGUGCGUAGGCGGUCUCUCAAGUCUGACGUGAAAGCCCAGGGCUCAGCCCUGGAAGUGCGCCAGAAACUGAGAGGCUUGAGUGCCGGAGGGGAGAGUGGAAUUCCCGGUGUAGCGGUGAAAUGCGUAGAUAUCGGGAGGAAUACCGGUGGCGAAAGCGACUCUCUGGACGGUAACUGACGCUGAGGCACGAAAGCUAGGGGAGCGAACGGGA